Molecule: non-coding RNA, 26 nt
Filed under: Rattus norvegicus (Norway rat)
Lineage: Eukaryota; Metazoa; Chordata; Mammalia; Rodentia; Muridae
Source: RNAcentral
UGUGAGAAGCAGUAACUUGGACAGAC